CACCAUUAAAACACAAAAAAGGAAAAAAAGCAAGUGGAAUACAAGUGUGAAAAAAUUAAAAAAUCGCGAGUGAAAAACGAAGAGUAUAACAACUGGAAAGGAAAUUUGGUGAAACAGAAAAAUCAUGGAUUCGAUUGUAGGUGCAGAUGGAAAUGCAUACAAGAUAAAGUUACAGAAGACUUAGCAGUUGAAACAUACACAAAGUUCAUAGAUUUCAACAC
Molecule: long non-coding RNA, 221 nt
Organism: Nilaparvata lugens (brown planthopper)
Lineage: Eukaryota; Metazoa; Arthropoda; Insecta; Hemiptera; Delphacidae
Exons: 2
Source: RefSeq, a predicted model, not a curated record